GACGAACGCUGGCGGCGUGCUUAACACAUGCAAGUCGUACGGUAAGGCCCUUUCGGGGGUCCACGAGUGGCGAACGGGUGAGUAACACGUGAGUAACCUGCCCACAACUUUGGGAUAACGCUAGGAAACUGGUGCUAAUACUGGAUAUGUGCUCCUGCUGCAUGGUGGGGGUUGGAAAGCUCCGGCGGUGGUGGAUGGACUCGCGGCCUAUCAGCUUGUUGGUGGGGUAGUGGCGUACCAAGGCGGCGACGGGUAGCCGGCCUGAGAGGGUGACCGGCCACAUUGGGACUGAGAUACGGCCCAGGCUCCUACGGGAGGCAGCAGUGGGGAAUAUUGCACAAUGGGCGCAAGCCUGAUGCAGCAGCGCCGCGUGCGGGAUGACGGCCUUCGGGUUGUAAACCGCUUUCAGCAGGGACGAAGCUUUUUGUGACGGUACCUGCAGAAGAAGCACCGGCUAACUACGUG
Molecule: ribosomal RNA, 465 nt
Filed under: uncultured bacterium
Lineage: Bacteria
Description: partial 16S ribosomal RNA
Rfam family: Bacterial small subunit ribosomal RNA
Source: RNAcentral